CAAUAGCGUAUAUUAAAGUUGUUGCAGUUAAAAAGCUCGUAGUUGGACCUUGGACCUGGACAGGCGGUCCGCCUCACGGCGAGUACUGUCUUGCUGGUCUUUCCUCUUGGUGAUCUGUUGUUUCGGCAGCAGGGAACCAGGACCUUUACUUUGAAAAAAUUAGAGUGUUCAAAGCAGGCUCGACGCCGGAAUAUAUUAGCAUGGAAUAAUAAAAUAGGACGUGCGGUUCUAUUUUGUUGGUUUUUGGAAUCGCCGUAAUGAUUAAUAGGGACAGUCGGGGGCAUUAGUACUCACAUGCUAGAGGUGAAAUUCUUGGAUUUUGUGAAGACUAACUUCUGCGAUAGCAUUUGCCAAGGAUGUUUUCAUUA
This 368-nucleotide ribosomal RNA is filed under the name uncultured eukaryote. RNAcentral describes it as "partial 18S ribosomal RNA". It matches the Rfam family "Eukaryotic small subunit ribosomal RNA", at positions 592 to 975 of the family's 1831-position model. The record is from RNAcentral.